AAUAAUACCCGGGUAGUCCACGCCGUAAACGAUGAGUGCUAGGUGUUGGGGGGGACCCCCCUCAGUGCCGCAGGUAACCCAAUAAGCACUCCGCCUGGGGGAGUACGGGUCGCAAGACUGAAAACUCAAAGGAAUUGACGGGGGGCCCGCACAAGCGGUGGAGCAUGUGGUUUAAUUCGAAGCAACGCGAAGAACCUUACCAGGGCUUGACAUCCCGCUGAUCGGUGUAGAGAUAUGCCUUUCCCCUUCGGGGGACAGCGGUGACAGGUGGUGCAUGGUUGUCGUCAGCUCGUGUCGUGAGAUGUUGGGUUCAGUCCCGCAACGAGCGCAACCCUUGUUUCUAGUUGCCAGCACUUCGGGUGGGCACUCUAGAGAGACAGCCGGUGAAAGCCGGAGGAAGGUGGGGAUGACGUCAAAUCAUCAUGCCCCUUAUGUCCUGGGCUACACACGUGCUACAAUGGCUGGUACAAAGGGCAGCGAACCCGCGAGGGGGAGCCAAUCCCGAAAAAACCNGUCUCAGUUCGGAUUGCAGGCUGCAACUCG
This 543-nucleotide ribosomal RNA is filed under the name uncultured bacterium. RNAcentral describes it as "partial 16S ribosomal RNA". It matches the Rfam family "Bacterial small subunit ribosomal RNA", at positions 777 to 1314 of the family's 1533-position model. The record is from RNAcentral.